This 460-nucleotide ribosomal RNA is filed under the name uncultured bacterium. RNAcentral describes it as "partial 16S ribosomal RNA". It matches the Rfam family "Bacterial small subunit ribosomal RNA", at positions 338 to 795 of the family's 1533-position model. The record is from RNAcentral.
CCUACGGGUGGCAGCAGUGAGGAAUAUUGGUCAAUGGGCGCGAGCCUGAACCAGCCAAGUCGCGUGAGGGAAGACGGUCCUAUGGAUUGUAAACUUCUUUUGUCGGGGAGCAAAGCGAACCACGUGUGGCUCAUUGAGUGUGUCCGAAGAAAAAGCGUAGGCUCACUCCGCGCUAGCAGCCGCGGUAAUACGGAGGAUUCAAGCGUUAUCCGGAUUUAUUGGGUUUAAAGGGUGCGUAGGCGGUCGGAUAAGUUAGAGGUGAAAUCCCGAGGCUCAACUUCGGAAUUGCCUCUGAUACUGUUCGGCUAGAGAGUAGUUGCGGUAGGCGGAAUGUAUGGUGUAGCGGUGAAAUGCUUAGAGAUCAUACAGAACACCGAUUGCGAAGGCAGGUGACCAAGCUACUACUGACGUUGAGGCACGAAAGCGUGGGGAGCAAACAGGAUUAGAUACCCCAGUAGUC